UAAAUUGAUUUUUUUGGUGGGUUGCGAUUUCGAUGUGCCACGAGUAACCUCCUGCUGGGACUGUUCAAUCUAAUGUGAUCGCCUCGAUCAAAUUGUCGCUGCCGCACGAAUAAUAAUACUGUAAUAAAUAAUGGAACCAUAUAAACAGACAAAAGUAAUGAUUCAGAGAGUUUGGAUUUGAUCUUCACCGUGCUGACUCCUAAGACCUUGGUGAAGAUUUACCGACAGUGAAGUGUGCUGUUACAUACAAGAUCUAACUGUCUGAGUUGAAUCUCGAUCAUUGCGAGUCCCAAACAGCGGAAGACUGAGGGUGAUGCUAAUUGUGUGUGACACGUUAGGGGAUCUAUGACAUGAAUAUAAAGUAGAGAAUUUUAAAUCUGUCCUGUACAAAAGUUGUGAGGACUUUCUGAUUGACUCUUGGAACUAUCAGUUCUUACUAUGGGUCAUGAGAGCGUCAUUAUGGUUCCUUAAAGAAAAAAAGAAAUGAAAGUCAAUGCGCCACUGAUGCUGGAAGGACUAAGGUGUAAACGGUCUCUCAACAAAUUUGUGUUUGGACAAUUUCAGUUGAUUCUUGGGCAAGAGUGUCAGUUCCACUGCCAGAAUUUGUAUUCAUUCAUUUUUUUAAAUGAAUAUACAGGUUGGGUCUCCCUACCUUGUCGAGCGCAUCCUGCACAACAGUCUCACUCUCAGCAUCAAGGGCGGAUGUUGCUUCGUCCAGCAGAAGGAUUUUGGGGUUACGUACGAGCGCUCGAGCGAUUGCAAUUCUCUGCUUCUGUCCUCCACUCAUCUGAGUCCCUC
Molecule: long non-coding RNA, 798 nt
Organism: Hippocampus zosterae (dwarf seahorse)
Lineage: Eukaryota; Metazoa; Chordata; Actinopteri; Syngnathiformes; Syngnathidae
Exons: 2
Source: RefSeq, a predicted model, not a curated record